AAUGUGCUGACGGGCUCAGC
This 20-nucleotide unclassified non-coding RNA is filed under the name Mus musculus (house mouse). RNAcentral's name for it is "oocyte_clustered_small_RNA10221". Lineage: Eukaryota; Metazoa; Chordata; Mammalia; Rodentia; Muridae. The record is from RNAcentral.